UUAAUCUGUGCACUAUCCUCCGCAGGGUGCAUAUCUCUGUGGCAGAGGAUACCCCGGGCACAGUGGAUGACAGUGGCUGUGGCUGGACUCGGGAUCUAUACAACCUGGCGUUUGGCCGUGGCUUCCAGGACAGGCUGGAUGCAGAGUGAAGUCCUCUCCUCACUGUCAAUGUUUGCAGAUGUCUUCUUGUAUAAACUUCGUAUUUCUUGAGACUUUCAAUUAGGUUUUUACUUAACUGGACUUUUAAAAUUGCCAUGCACAUAACUCUACCAGUUAGAAUCUUGAGCUAACAUGGGUUUUUGGUUUUUGGUUUUUGGUUUUACUUUGAUGAAUGUUUAACAUUUGCAUGCUGGAUGUGGGGGUGGAGGUCAUUUAUCUGCUUUUCAUUGCCUUCUUGGUUAUACUUAGUGACUUUCAGGUAAGGUGUGGAAGGCGUGGUACAGGGUGAAUUGCAGGCCGCACUGUGGCGCCGUGGAGGACAGGUGCGGGCUGCAGUGGUGUGCACAGUGGAUGAGAGACAAGAGAGACUUCCAUCCUUGAGGGA
This 544-nucleotide long non-coding RNA is filed under the name Macaca mulatta (Rhesus monkey). RNAcentral describes it as "lncRNA (ENSMMUG00000062887.1)". The record is from RNAcentral. Lineage: Eukaryota; Metazoa; Chordata; Mammalia; Primates; Cercopithecidae.